UUUUUUGGGUGUGUUCCAAAUAUUUUGUUAAAUUUCCCGUCUAUUGCUGUUAUUGUUUCCAUUUAUUUGCCCAUGUGAGUUGAUACCUUUUUCAUUCCUUUCCCAUAGCUUUAGUGACGUUGUGGGAAGGGAAGUUAGGUAAGUGAUGUUUCAUCUUGUACUUACUAGACACCUUUUUCUUCCUUGAUUUCCUGAGUUCCCUGCCUCCACAGGUGUGUUUCACUCCUGGUUGCUUAUAUUUUUUUAUUUUUGAGAUGGAGUUUUGCUCUGUUGACCAGGCUGGAGUGCAGUGGCAUGAUCUCGGCUCACUGCAACCUGUGCCUCCUGGGUUCAAGCGAUUCUCCUGCCUCAGCCACCCAAAUAGCUGGGAUUACAGAUGCGCACCACCAUGCCCAGCUAAUUUUUGUAUUUUUAGUAGAGACGGGGUUUCACCAUGUUGGCCAGGCUGGUCUCGAACUCCUGACCUCAGGUAAUCCACCGUGAUCCGCCCGCCUCAGCCUCCCAAAGUGCUGGGAUUAUAGGUGUGAGCCACCGUGCCAGAACUGGACUGCUGUUUUAAAGC
RNAcentral lists this long non-coding RNA (562 nucleotides) under Homo sapiens (human). RNAcentral's name for it is "HSALNT0232974". Lineage: Eukaryota; Metazoa; Chordata; Mammalia; Primates; Hominidae. The record is from RNAcentral.